AGCGUUCGUAGCCGGAUUAUUAAGUCUCGGGUGAAAUCGUUGCGCUAAACAAAACGGCGUGCCUGAGAAACUACUAAUCUAGGGACCGGGAGGAGUUAGGAGUAUUCUGGAGGGAGCGGUAAAAUGCUAUAAUCUCCAGUGGACUACCUGUGGCGAAGGCGCCUAACUAGAACGGGUCCGACGGUGAGGAACGAAAGCUAGGGGAGCAAAAGGGAUUAGAUACCCCGGUAGUCCCAGCUGUAAAUCAUGUAGACUUUGGUGUUACAUAGGAGUAAUCCUAUGUAGUGCUGUAGCGUAAGUGUUAAGUCUACCGCCUGGGGAGUACGAUCGCAAGAUUGAAAUUCUGUGAACAAGUUCACAGCUUUAUU
Molecule: ribosomal RNA, 368 nt
Filed under: uncultured euryarchaeote
Lineage: Archaea; Methanobacteriati; Methanobacteriota
Description: bacterial SSU rRNA
Rfam family: Archaeal small subunit ribosomal RNA
Source: RNAcentral